AAUCGUACCCCAAACCGACACAGGUGGUCAGGUAGAGAAUACCAAGGCGCUUGAGAGAACUCGGGUGAAGGAACUAGGCAAAAUGGUGCCGUAACUUCGGGAGAAGGCACGCUGGCAUGUAGGUGAAGUCCCUUGCGGAUGGAGCUGAAGCCAGUCGAAGAUACCAGCUGGCUGCAACUGUUUAAUAAAAACACAGCACUGUGCAAACACGAAAGUGGACGUAUACGGUGUGACGCCUGCCCGGUGCUGGAAGGUUAAUUGAUGGGGUCAGCCGCAAGGCGAAGCUCUUGAUCGAAGCCCCAGUAAACGGCGGCCGUAACUAUAACGGUCCUAAGGUAGCGAAAUUCCUUGUCGGGUAAGUUCCGACCUGCACGAAUGGCGUAAUGAUGGCCAGGCUGUCUCCACCCGAGACUCAGUGAAAUUGAACUCGCUGUGAAGAUGCAGUGUACCCGCGGCAAGACGGAAAGACCCCGUGAACCUUUACUAUAGCUUGACACUGAACAUUGAGCCUUGAUGUGUAGGAUAGGUGGGAGGCUUUGAAGCGUGGACGCCAGUCUGCGUGGAGCCAUCCUUGAAAUACCACCCUUUAAUGUUUGAUGUUCUAACUCGGCCCCAUAAUCUGGGGUGAGGACAGUGUCUGGUGGGUAGUUUGACUGGGGCGGUCUCCUCCCAAAGAGUAACGGAGGAGCACGAAGGUUAGCUAAUCACGGUCGGACAUCGUGAGGUUAGUGCAAAGGCAUAAGCUAGCUUGACUGCGAGAGUGACGGCUCGAGCAGGUACGAAAGUAGGUCUUAGUGAUCCGGUGGUUCUGAAUGGAAGGGCCAUCGCUCAACGGAUAAAAGGUACUCCGGGGAUAACAGGCUGAUACCGCCCAAGAGUUCAUAUCGACGGCGGUGUUUGGCACCUCGAUGUCGGCUCAUCACAUCCUGGGGCUGAAGUAGGUCCCAAGGGUAUGGCUGUUCGCCAUUUAAAGUGGUACGCGAGCUGGGUUUAGAACGUCGUGAGACAGUUCGGUCCCUAUCUGCCGUGGGCGUUGGAAGAUUGAGAGGGGUUGCUCCUAGUACGAGAGGACCGGAGUGAACGCACCACUGGUGUUCGGGUUGUCAUGCCAAUGGCAUUGCCCGGUAGCUAAGUGCGGAAAAGAUAAGCGCUGAAAGCAUCUAAGCGCGAAACUUGCCUCAAGAUGAGUCUUCCCUGGGCCUU
RNAcentral lists this ribosomal RNA (1203 nucleotides) under Serratia marcescens. RNAcentral describes it as "partial 23S ribosomal RNA". It matches the Rfam family "Bacterial large subunit ribosomal RNA", at positions 1640 to 2823 of the family's 2925-position model. Lineage: Bacteria; Pseudomonadati; Pseudomonadota; Gammaproteobacteria; Enterobacterales; Yersiniaceae. RNAcentral also lists the same sequence under 1 other name. The record is from RNAcentral.